CGUACGGUGUUCUAAAGGAAGGAUACAGGGUUCAUAUCCCUGUGAUCAGGGUUCGAAUCCCUGCUGCGCAA
RNAcentral lists this transfer RNA (71 nucleotides) under Siphoviridae sp. ctRuT6. RNAcentral's name for it is "tRNA-Met". It matches the Rfam family "tRNA". Rfam says of the family: Transfer RNA (tRNA) molecules are approximately 80 nucleotides in length. Their secondary structure includes four short double-helical elements and three loops (D, anti-codon, and T loops). The record is from RNAcentral. Lineage: Duplodnaviria; Heunggongvirae; Uroviricota; Caudoviricetes.